GCCCAGAUGGUGGAAUUGGUAGACACGCGAGACUUAAAAUCUCGUUUCUUCGGAAGUCCGGGUUCAAUUCCCGGUCUGGGCACCA
Molecule: transfer RNA, 85 nt
Filed under: Candidatus Gracilibacteria bacterium 28_42_T64
Lineage: Bacteria; Candidatus Altimarinota
Description: tRNA-Leu
Rfam family: tRNA
About the family: Transfer RNA (tRNA) molecules are approximately 80 nucleotides in length. Their secondary structure includes four short double-helical elements and three loops (D, anti-codon, and T loops). Further hydrogen bonds mediate the characteristic L-shaped molecular structure. tRNAs have two regions of fundamental functional importance: the anti-codon, which is responsible for specific mRNA codon recognition, and the 3' end, to which the tRNAs corresponding amino acid is attached (by aminoacyl-tRNA synthetases). tRNAs cope with the degeneracy of the genetic code in two manners: having more than one tRNA (with a specific anti-codon) for a particular amino acid; and 'wobble' base-pairing, i.e. permitting non-standard base-pairing at the 3rd anti-codon position.
Source: RNAcentral